UGUUCCUACGGGGCGCAGCAGUGGGGAAUAUUGGGCAAUGGGCGCAAGCCUGACCCAGCAACGCCGCGUGAAGGAAGAAGGCUUUCGGGUUGUAAACUUCUUUUGUCAGGGACGAAGCAAGUGACGGUACCUGACGAAUAAGCCACGGCUAACUACGUGCCAGCAGCCGCGGUAAUACGUAGGUGGCAAGCGUUAUCCGGAUUUAUUGGGUGUAAAGGGCGUGUAGGCGGGAAUGCAAGGCAGAUGUGAAAACUAUGGGCUCAACCCAUAGCCUGCAUUUGAAACUGUUGGUCUUGAGUAUCGGG
Molecule: ribosomal RNA, 305 nt
Filed under: uncultured bacterium
Lineage: Bacteria
Description: bacterial SSU rRNA
Rfam family: Bacterial small subunit ribosomal RNA
Source: RNAcentral